Long non-coding RNA from Homo sapiens (human), 592 nucleotides. The record is from Ensembl. NCBI's taxonomy places the organism in Eukaryota, Metazoa, Chordata, Mammalia, Primates, Hominidae.
ACAUUCCAAGAUACUCUAGAAGAAUUAGCAUGUGCUUAUAUGAUAAUAUGCACAAAUAACACAAUUUAUGACCUAUCCCAACCACAAAGUGACAAAUUAACACUUAGCAUUAUAAUUACCCAAAGGAUGGGAACUCCCAAUGCUGGGAAAUUUCAGGUAGACUUGUAGGAAGACAAUAUUUUGAACAGUGGUUGUGGCUUUCAAUGUUCUUUGGGUCAUUUGAGGGGUUGCUGAUGCAUUAGAAGAAGUAAUACACAACACUGUACCACAAGCCGAUGGUCCAGUUGUCAUAUAAACAGGUUUUGCUGUCAUCAAACUGACCUAAUACUGGGAGGACAAUGAACACUUGGUCUAAAUGGAAGAAGCAGAAAAAUAAACACUAUCGUGUCAAGAACAAUCAAUCAACCUUUUGAACAUCUUCUAGAGUGAUUUGACUGGUGCACCAGCAAGUUAGAUAAACUUUGAGUCACCCAACUAGCAAUGAUCACACUUAUGUUCCUUGUGACAUUAGUGCUAGUGCACAGCCAAGCAUACAGGAAGACAGAGCACUGUCUCACAACCUGUGGAUUUGAUUUCUGAGAGGUCAUGACAA